GUAUCCUCCUCCGCGCCGGCCCUGCGGCCAUUUUGGGCUUCGCCUCCACUCGCUCCAGCCUGCCUACUCAAGCCCUUCCAACCCAGCUUUGCUCCGGGACUUUGUGACUGUCCCCGUGUCUCCGGGAAAGUCCUUAUCUAUGGUGGAGAGGCCGCGCGCCUACUAGAACGUCUUCUUGGCCGCCAGGAUGGAAGUCGCUUCCGCCGCCGCCUCCUGCGCGGGCCGCUCUGCUCUGUGCUCUGCCUUCCGCAGCCGAAGCCGCUGCCCUCUGUGGCUUUUCCGCGGGCUCGGGGAUCCGCCACUGGGCAAGGCCGAGACUGUGUAGGCUUCCUUCGGCUCGCGUCCAAUCUCCAGCCGUCGAGCUCCGCGGACCUCCCCGACCGACUGCCAGGAAAAAAGGCCAUGGCGCCCGAGACUCACCGGCCGCGGAAACGGCCCGCCCCUUGGGCGAGCUCCUGGUUCCGGCUGCCCUUCUUCCCUCGGCGAUCGCCAGCCAGCUCCUCCAAGUUCCCGAUGCGUCCUGCCCCGGAACACUCCGGGGACACUACCCUGCUCUCCUCUGCCCGGCCCGAGGCUCAGACCAGCUAUUGGGCGAAAUUGCUUGCCCAGCUCCUUGCACCGCUCCCUAACUUGCUCCAGAAGCUGCUUAUCUGGAGCCAGCUUUUCGGUGGCAUGAUUCCGACCAGAUGGCUAGGUUUCGCCGGAGGCUACAGUGACCUGAGAGCCUUGAGGGGAGGAGAGGAAACAGCCGCCCCCACAAAACAAAAAUGUUUGAGUUCGCUGCGGCUCGGCUCCUCUGACGACUCGGAUGCCAGCCCCCGGGAUUGGCUGGAGGAGGGGAUCCCCUGGCAGUGCCCAUCCUCAGUCCUAGAAUUGGAACUUAAAGCCAAGGGGAGGCCUUUGGACCCGGCGGCACAUACUUUUCUGGAGCAGCAGCUGUGGGGGGUGGAACUGUUGCCCAGUGGCCUUCAAGCCCGUCUGUUCUCUGACCGAGAACUUGGCUCUUCGCCCUCGGGGCCUUUAAACAUUCAGCAAUUGAACGUAGUCUCCUAUGUGCUGAACCCCUCCUACCUGGACUGCCUGCCCCGGCUAGAGGUCAACUGUCAGAGCAGCCUUGCAACUGGCGAGCUAGUUGAUUUCCGGACACUAACCCCAGAGAGUAGCUGUCCCUCUGAGGAGCGUUGUCAUCCUCAGCCAUUGCGAGCUGAGAGCUCUGCAGCCUCGUGGCAGGGGUGUCCACCUCUUUCCAGAGAAGGCCUGCCCGAAAUCCACCAUCUUCGUAUGAAACGGCUGGAAUUCCUUCAGGCUAGGAAGGGCCAAGAAUUACCCACUCCUGACCAAGACAAUGGCUACCACAGCCUGGAGGAGGAGCACAGCCUUCUGCGGAUGGAUCUGAAACCCUGCACAGGUAACCCAACACAGCCUGUUGCCCCUGCUGUAGCCAUUCCUGAAACCACCCAGGAGCCCACUGAGGAAAAAAUAGAGUUGUUGAUUAAAGAGCUUCCAUUUGCUCUGCAAAAACCAGACCCUUCGGGAAGCUGGCCAUCUUGCGAGACACCUGUGGAAAAAGAGCCAGGAGAGGACCAAGUCAGUGUGGUUGACUCCUCAGACAUAGAGGAUGACCUUCCCGUUUCUGCCAGGCCAGCUUGUAGGAACAAAUUGAUAGAUUACAUUUUGGGAGGUGUAUCCAGUGACCUGGAAACAAGUUCUGAUUCCGAAGGUGAGGAUUGGGGUGAGGAAGCUGAGGACGAUGGUUUUGAUAGUGAUGGCUCACUGUCAGAAUCAGACCUUGAACAAGACUCUGAAGGGCUUCAUCUUUGGAACUCUUUCUACAGUGUAGAUCCUUAUAAUCCCCAAAACUUUACAGCAACCAUCCAGUCUGCUAGCAGAAUUGUUCCUGGAGGCCCUUCUGACUCAGGGAGGUCUGAUCUAGGAGGUUCUUUCCAGACUGAAAUCCUUCCUGAGACCCCUGACCAUAGUUCUGGGGAGGAAGAUGACUGGGAGUCUAGUGCAGAUGAAGCAGAGAGUCUCAAGCUGUGGAACUCUUUCUGUAAUUCCGAUGACCCCUACAACCUUUUAAAUUUUAAGGCUCCUUUUCAAACAUCAGGGAAGAACUGGAAAGGCUGUUGUGACUCAAAGAGACCGCAUGAGUCCUUGGAGGCCAUUUCUGAGUGUCACACCUUACUUUCUUGUAAGGUACAGCUGUUAGAGAGCCAAGAAAACAAACGUCCAGACUUGAUACAGCAUAAGGUACUUUCCGGAGGAAGAUGCGCACACAUGAAGAGAAAAAAGAUCAUUAUCCAGAAGGAGGAACCUAGGACCUUCACAGCAAAGGAACAGCUCAAUUGCAGACACUAUUGAACAAGAACAAAGGAUCCCACAGAGUGCCGGACUCUUCAGAACUUCAUCCGCCAAAAUGUUAGCUUGAUUGACUUUGGACUCAGCAAUGCUCUGCUGAUUCCACCAGAUGGCGUUACUUACCACGUCAGAGUGCUUGAUGGAUGACCUGUUACUCACAUUUUUCCCUGGGAGGUCCUUCCCUGUGUGUGAGCAAACUGGAAAGCAGCCCUUCCUGGCCCAUUGUGACUCCACCUUUUUGCGGUAACUACCCAGAAGUGGUGGGCUGUUCCUUAUAGAAAUUUGUAUAUGAACACAAGCAAGAGAUCCUGUUCUUCCCGAUGCAGGCAGAGAGAGAGUAAGGUGAUUGAGGAGACUGGAGGUGAGAUCUAAAAGUGGGUGGAAAGCUGUUUGCUGAAUUAUGUGCAUUAAGAGUUUUCCCAGCUACCUGGGCACCAGCGGCUCACGCCUGUAAUCCUAGCUACUCAGGAGGCAGAGAUCAGGAGGAUCUCAAUUCGAAGCCAGCCCAGAUAAACAGAUUGCGAAACCUUAUCUGGAUAAAAACCCUUCACAAAAAUAGGACUGGUGGAGUGGCUCAAGGUGAAGGCCCUGAGUUCAAGCCCCAGUACCACAAAAAAAAAAAAAAAGUUUUCCCAGCUAGUGCCUGGUCUCACUAUACGUUCAGCAUUCUGUUUAUUGCAUUCCUGUGCCCCUGGGCAGUCAUUUCAAUGGAAGAGGGUGCCGAAAUUGCUCCCCACAUGGAAAAUCAGUGUGUCUAAUGACAUAAUUACACAUGUGACAGGCCUGGAAGGAGGAAAAGGCCUAGAGAACCAAUGGGCUGGGUUUUCCUUCUGGGAGCUGUCAGCUAAAGCCAGCAGAUGUCUACCACUGCUCAAUGAACUGAAAUCAAAACCAACUGAGGGACCCUGAGCCACUUCCAGAUGUGCAGAAUGGAAGGUCACUGUGUGUUUGUAUAUGAUUUUCUUGUGCCUGUAGUGACAGGUGACUUUCAAUGGUCUUACUGUGCUGCUUUUCCUUUCUUUUGUUUCUGCUUGAUUUGACUGAGUAGGCAAGAGGGUAGAGGUUUUUUUUUUCUACCUCUAGGAAUUUACACGGGAGA
Non-coding RNA from Castor canadensis (American beaver), 3457 nucleotides. The record is from RefSeq and is a predicted model, not a curated record. Lineage: Eukaryota; Metazoa; Chordata; Mammalia; Rodentia; Castoridae.